RNAcentral lists this ribosomal RNA (261 nucleotides) under uncultured Oscillospiraceae bacterium. Its description in RNAcentral is "partial 16S ribosomal RNA". It matches the Rfam family "Bacterial small subunit ribosomal RNA", at positions 78 to 339 of the family's 1533-position model. Lineage: Bacteria; Bacillati; Bacillota; Clostridia; Eubacteriales; Oscillospiraceae. The record is from RNAcentral.
AAACCAGAUAUGACUUAGUGGCGGACGGGUGAGUAACACGUGAGCAACCUGCCUUUCAGAGGGGGACAACAGUUGGAAACGACUGCUAAUACCGCAUGACACAUUGAGGUCGCAUGGCCUUGAUGUCAAAGAUUUAUCGCUGAAAGAUGGCCUCGCGUCUGAUUAGCUAGUUGGUGAGGUAACGGCCUACCAAGUCGACGAUCAGUAGCCGGACUGAGAGGUUGAACGGCCACAUUGGGACUGAGACACGGCCCAAACUCC